This 253-nucleotide ribosomal RNA is filed under the name uncultured bacterium. RNAcentral describes it as "partial 16S ribosomal RNA". It matches the Rfam family "Bacterial small subunit ribosomal RNA", at positions 524 to 776 of the family's 1533-position model. The record is from RNAcentral.
UACGUAGGGUCCGAGCGUUGUCCGGAGUUACUGGGCGUAAGCGCGCGCAGGCGGCGGUGCUGGCCCGGCGUGAAAGCCCCCGGCUCAACCGGGGAGAGUCGUCGGGGACCGCACCGCUUGAGGGCGGUAGGGGCUGGUGGAAUGCCUGGUGUAGUGGUGAAAUGCGUAGAUAUUGGGAAGAACACCUGAGGCGAAGGCGGGUCUCUGGGCCGAUACUGACGCUGACGGAGCGAAAGCGUGGGGAGCGAACAGG